ACCAGAAAAUUAAUCAAGCAUGUUGGAGAGAUGUGCUAAAAAAAAAUCAGCAAACUAGAAAAGAUGUGCUCCAAGAAAAUAAAUCAAAUCAAAAAAAUUUGAAGAGAUGAUGCUCCAACAUAACUCAAUUUGGAGUAUUCAGCAAAAAUGUCAAGAAGAAGUGUUGAAGCAUCCAAUACUAUUGCUUCAUCCUCCAAGUUCCAAGAAUUUAGUUUAUGCAUUGCUUCAUCCUCCAAGUUCCAAGAAUUUAGUUUAUGCAUUGCUUCAUCCUCCAAGUUCCAAGAAUUUAGUUUAUGC
Molecule: unclassified non-coding RNA, 297 nt
Filed under: Hevea brasiliensis (rubber tree)
Lineage: Eukaryota; Viridiplantae; Streptophyta; Magnoliopsida; Malpighiales; Euphorbiaceae
Source: RNAcentral